This 713-nucleotide ribosomal RNA is filed under the name uncultured bacterium. Its description in RNAcentral is "bacterial SSU rRNA". It matches the Rfam family "Bacterial small subunit ribosomal RNA", at positions 96 to 824 of the family's 1533-position model. The record is from RNAcentral.
UGGCGGACGGGUGAGUAACGCGUGAGUAACCUGCCUUCAAGAGGGGGAUAACAUUCUGAAAAGAAUGCUAAUACCGCAUGACAUAUCGGAACCACAUGGUUUUGAUAUCAAAGAUUUUAUCGCUUGAAGAUGGACUCGCGUCCGAUUAGUUAGUUGGUGAGGUAACUGCUCACCAAGACCGCGAUCGGUAGCCGGACUGAGAGGUUGAACGGCCACAUUGGGACUGAGACACGGCCCAGACUCCUACGGGAGGCAGCAGUGGGGGAUAUUGCGCAAUGGGGGCAACCCUGACGCAGCAACGCCGCGUGAAGGAUGAAGGUUUUCGGAUUGUAAACUUCUUUUAUUAAGGACGAAACUUGACGGUACUUAAUGAAUAAGCUCCGGCUAACUACGUGCCAGCAGCCGCGGUAAUACGUAGGGAGCAAGCGUUGUCCGGAUUUACUGGGUGUAAAGGGUGCGUAGGCGGCUUUGCAAGUCAGAUGUGAAAUCUAUGGGCUCAACCCAUAAACUGCAUUUGAAACUGUAGAGCUUGAGUGAAGUAGAGGCAGGCGGAAUUCCCCGUGUAGCGGUGAAAUGCGUAGAGAUGGGGAGGAACACCAGUGGCGAAGGCGGCCUGCUGGGCUUUAACUGACGCUGAGGCACGAAAGCGUGGGUAGCAAACAGGAUUAGAUACCCCUGGUAGUCCACGCUGUAAACGAUGAUUACUAGGUGUG